AUGCUUCCAGUUCCAGUCCUGCAUCGCUUCGUUCUGUGGAGGGUCGUGACUAGUUCUGUCUUCGUCUGUCACGGCAUAGCUGUACGUCGGUGCUGGAUGGAUGCCAACGUAUGGGAGCGAAGGCCUGUGUGGAAAGGAAAAGAAGAUCUUGAGAGCGGGAGUGGCUGUCAAAGCUAAGUAUCUGCUGACGCGUUCGAUGGUCAGAAGUAUUUGUGCUGUUGAGGCUCCUUGUUUAGGGAUGGGAGUCCUCUAAACUCUGCUCGUUCUUAACGGGUGUGUGAGGGAGCUCAUUGUAUGAAUGGAGUGUGUUUCCCCUGGAGGAAUGCUGAUUUCUGGCAGAUUUUCCUAACUAGAGAUGCUCUGUUCUCAGUUCUUCUCUCUUACAUGGCACUGGAUUUGCAUGACAGGUCACCACUUCAUCCUUUGUCCAUCUUCUAAAUGGUUGUGGUUUUCCGAGGAGGAUGUGAGCAUCCUAGUUAGCGAUGCCUCCCUGUGGCGGAGGGAGAGGGGGAGGGCUACCAGUAUUUUAGAAGCGUAGCCAUUUUCCAUGUGGAUGAAAGUGUUCUCUGGGGGGGCGGGGUGUAAUAUGUAGUAGGUGUUCCCUCUCAAGGAAGCCGUAUGCAGGUGAGGUCAUCUUUCAUAUUGUGUAGUUGGGAGCUUUGCGAGUAGGUUUUCAGUCAAGCUUUGUAUUUGCAGAUGCGUCCAUAUCUGGUACUGCAUCACCUCGUUCUGUGGAGGGUUGUGACCACUUCUAUCUUCGUCUGCCACGGCAUAGAUGUAUGUCUGUGCUGAAUGGAUGCCAAUGUAUGGGAGCGAAGGCCUGUGUGAAAAGGAGAUUGGGAGCGGCCGUCAAAGGGGGAUCUGAGUCCAGAACUGAGGGAAUGGGCUGUGGCAAGUGCUUGGUUUACAUGGUUCCUGGUAAUGGUGGUGCCAGUUGGAGCAGAGGAACCGCUUGCAUCCAUGAGGAAGCUAUUUUCACCUGUGCAGUCAGAAGGUAUCAGUGUCACUGGAGAAGACUUUUGUGUACUUCGUUUGGAAGAAUCGGGCUUAGAUUGUGUAUAUUUUUGGGUUGUGAUGUGAAGUAUCGUCUGUUUGAUGGCUAGAAUGUAAUAGAGCAGCGGGGCUGGUGUCACUGUGUUCUGGUAGAUACCAGAGCUACUGAUGACAAUGCCAUUUAAUGAUAUUUCUGCAAUCCCAGUUUGAGAGGUUGGGUUCAUUUGUUUGGUCAGUUAUGUGAAGUAGUUCCUGUAAUUACUUGCACAAAAUUAAACCACUCCUUUCAAAAGAAAGUUAGUUUGCCUCGGAAUGUUCUAGCCAUCAAAGUUGCAAGAGGACACUGUUAUGGGUUGUAUCAUUUUUUGUGCAGUCUGAAGCGUUUGUCAAUUGUUUUCAGAUUGUUGCGUAUGUUGUAUGUGUAGAACUGUAAUGUAUAGCUUGGGUUGUGGUUGGAUGACUACUUUUAGCACCCUAUAACAUAGAUGACAAAUCACUGCAGUGACUUAGAAACCAUUGUGCCGUGCCCUCAAACAGCGAGAAGACUGGUAACAACAUCAAUUUGUCAGCCUUUUGGCUGUUUCGCUGCACUGCACAAUGGUUGUGACUGUCCUGGACAGUCGUUGACUUAACUUUUUGUAGGUGGAGGUGCUGUAGAGGGAGAAUGCUGGCCAGUUGCUAAGUGAGGUAUGAUCGAGCCCCAUUCCCACCUUUCACAAUACAUGCAAGGUUUUGUACCGGUUUUGAAGUAUAUGGAAAUGAAAAGCCAGUGUUGCUUUGUGUUAUGAUGAUAUGAAUCACCAUAUACCAAAUGUAUGUGAAAUAAUAUAUUGUCACUGAAUCUUUGUACAGUACUGUACAGUCUAGACUGUUCAUGUAAUAGAUUCCUUGCCUGGCAACACAUUGAAUAGUCUGCUAUAUUAAAGCAUUCAACAAAAAAUCCAUCUCCCUGUCUUUUGGUGUUGGUUUUUUUUUUUUUUUUUUUUUUUUUUUUUUUCUGAUCUCAGAGUAUUUGUGGGACAUGUGUGCCUACAUGUCCUAGCCAAAGAGAGGGUGCCCCCAAUGUGCUGAAAUGGCAGGGGUGUGGGUGGGUGAGGGUUUAGGGUGAGG
This 2103-nucleotide long non-coding RNA is filed under the name Chrysemys picta bellii (western painted turtle). Its description in RNAcentral is "lncRNA (ENSCPBG00000018274.1)". Lineage: Eukaryota; Metazoa; Chordata; Testudines; Emydidae. The record is from RNAcentral.